RNAcentral lists this ribosomal RNA (446 nucleotides) under uncultured bacterium. RNAcentral describes it as "partial 16S ribosomal RNA". It matches the Rfam family "Bacterial small subunit ribosomal RNA", at positions 338 to 795 of the family's 1533-position model. The record is from RNAcentral.
CCUACGGGUGGCUGCAGUCGAGAAUCAUUCACAAUGGGGGAAACCCUGAUGGUGCGACGCCGCGUGGGGGAAUGAAGGUCUUCGGAUUGUAAACCCCUAUCAUGUGGGAGCAAAUUAAAAAGAUCGUACCACAAUAGGAAGAGACGGCUAACUCUGUGCCAGCAGCCGCGGUAAUACAGAGGUCUCAAGCGUUGUUCGGAAUCACUGGGCGUAAAGCGUGCGUAGGCUGUUUCGUAAGUCGUGUGUGAAAGGCGCGGGCUCAACCCGCGGACUGCACAUGAUACUGCGAGACUAGAGUAAGGGAGGGGGAACCGGAAUUCUCGGUGUAGCAGUGAAAUGCGUAGAUAUCGAGAGGAACACUCGUGGCGAAGGCGGGUUCCUGGACAUUAACUGACGCUGAGGCACGAAGGCCAGGGGAGCGAAAGGGAUUAGAUACCCCUGUAGUC